ACGGAGGGUGCGAGCGUUAAUCGGAAUUACUGGGCGUAAAGGGUACGUAGGCGGCUUUAUAAGUCAGAUGUGAAAUCCCCGGGCUUAACCUGGGAACUGCAUUUGAAACUGUAUGGCUAGAGUAAGUGAGAGGUUAGUGGAAUUCCAGGCGUAGCGGUGAAAUGCGUAGAGGUCUGGAGGAACAUCAGUGGCGAAGGCGACUAACUGGCACUAUACUGACGCUGAGGUACGAAAGCGUGGGGAGCGAACAGGA
Molecule: ribosomal RNA, 253 nt
Filed under: uncultured prokaryote
Description: partial 16S ribosomal RNA
Rfam family: Bacterial small subunit ribosomal RNA
Source: RNAcentral